This 479-nucleotide ribosomal RNA is filed under the name uncultured bacterium. RNAcentral's name for it is "partial 16S ribosomal RNA". It matches the Rfam family "Bacterial small subunit ribosomal RNA", at positions 28 to 507 of the family's 1533-position model. The record is from RNAcentral.
GAUGAACGCUGGCGGCGUGCUUAACACAUGCAAGUCGAGCGAGAAGUUUUGAAAAGAUUCUUCGGAUGAAAUUUAAAAUGGAAAGCGGCGGACGGGUGAGUAACGCGUAGGCAACCUGCCCCAUACAAAGGGAUAGCAUUUGGAAACGAAUAUUAAUACCUUAUGAAACUUAACUAGUGCAUGCUAGGUAGGUCAAAGAUUUAUCGGUAUGGGAUGGGCCUGCGUCUGAUUAGCUAGUUAGUGAGGUAACGGCUCACCAAGGCGACGAUCAGUAGCCGACCUGAGAGGGUGAACGGCCACAUUGGAACUGAGACACGGUCCAAACUCCUACGGGAGGCAGCAGUGGGGAAUAUUGCACAAUGGGGGAAACCCUGAUGCAGCAACGCCGCGUGAACGAUGAAGGCCUUUGGGUCGUAAAGUUCUGUUCUAGGUGAUGAAAACUGACAGUAACCUAGGAGAAAGCCCCGGCUAACUCCGUG